RNAcentral lists this ribosomal RNA (253 nucleotides) under uncultured bacterium. RNAcentral describes it as "partial 16S ribosomal RNA". It matches the Rfam family "Bacterial small subunit ribosomal RNA", at positions 524 to 776 of the family's 1533-position model. The record is from RNAcentral.
UACGAAGGGGGCUAGCGUUGCUCGGAAUUACUGGGCGUAAAGCGCACGUAGGCGGCUUUCUAAGUCGGGGGUGAAAUCCUGGAGCUCAACUCCAGAACUGCCUUCGAUACUGGAGAGCUCGAGUCCGGGAGAGGUGAGUGGAACUGCGAGUGUAGAGGUGAAAUUCGUAGAUAUUCGCAAGAACACCAGUGGCGAAGGCGGCUUACUGGUCCGGUUCUGACGCUGAGGCGCGAAAGCGUGGGGAGCGAACAGG